GGCGCAGCUUACCAUGCAAGUCGAGCGGUAACAGGGGGUGCUUGCACCCCGCUGACGAGCGGCGGACGGGUGAGUAAUGCAUAGGAAUCUGCCCAGUAGUGGGGGAUAGCCCGGGGAAACCCGGAUUAAUACCGCAUACGUCCUUCGGGGGAAAGCAGGGGAUCUUCGGACCUUGCGCUAUUGGAUGAGCCUAUGUCGGAUUAGCUAGUUGGUGGGGUAAAGGCCUACCAAGGCGACGAUCCGUAGCUGGUCUGAGAGGAUGAUCAGCCACAUCGGGACUGAGACACGGCCCGAACUCCUACGGGAGGCAGCAGUGGGGAAUAUUGGACAAUGGGGGCAACCCUGAUCCAGCCAUGCCGCGUGUGUGAAGAAGGCUUUCGGGUUGUAAAGCACUUUCAGUGAGGAGGAAAACCUUCUGGUUAAUACCCAUGAGGCUUGACGUUACUCACAGAAGAAGCACCGGCUAACUCCGUGCCAGCAGCCGCGGUAAUACGGAGGGUGCAAGCGUUAAUCGGAAUUACUGGGCGUAAAGCGCGCGUAGGUGGUUUGAUAAGCGAGAUGUGAAAGCCCCGGGCUUAACCUGGGAACGGCAUUUC
Molecule: ribosomal RNA, 596 nt
Filed under: Marinobacter sp.
Lineage: Bacteria; Pseudomonadati; Pseudomonadota; Gammaproteobacteria; Pseudomonadales; Marinobacteraceae
Description: bacterial SSU rRNA
Rfam family: Bacterial small subunit ribosomal RNA
Source: RNAcentral